RNAcentral lists this ribosomal RNA (254 nucleotides) under uncultured bacterium. Its description in RNAcentral is "partial 16S ribosomal RNA". It matches the Rfam family "Bacterial small subunit ribosomal RNA", at positions 524 to 776 of the family's 1533-position model. The record is from RNAcentral.
UACGUAGGGGGCGAGCGUUGUCCGGAUUUAUUGGGCGUAAAGAGCUCGUAGGCGGUUCGAUAAGUCGGAUGUGAAAUCUCCACGCUCAACGUGGAGGGGCCAUUCGAUACUGUCGUGACUCGAGUCCGGUAGGGGAGUGUGGAAUUCCCGGUGUAGCGGUGAAAUGCGCAGAUAUCAGGAGGAACACCGGUGGCGAAGGCGGGUCUCUGGGCCGAUACUGACGCUGAGGAGCGAAAGCGUGGGGAGCGAACAGG